CCAAAAGAUAAAAAAGGGUAGCAAACGAGAGAGGCACAGUACCAUUCCAUGGCUAGUUUCACUUCACUUUUCUUAUCAAAUCCUCUUCAUUUUCCCACUACAAAACUUGCUACCAGUCAAACUUUUUCCUCUUCUUCUCUUUCACCAGAUUACAUUCACUUCAAAUCAACUAAUGACAAGAGAGAAUUGAUACUUCCAAGAGUGGCUUCAAUCCCAUACAAUCCUAUCAACGUGGAUUACUUGGAGGAAGAGUUCAGUGGCCAUGGAGUCACCUUCCAAGGCAUUGGGGACAGCUGUGUUGCUAAUAUGGCUCUGGAGAAUGGAAGCACAGCCAUUCUGAUGCUGCCAAGUGGCUUAAUCACCUCUUACAAGGCUGCCAUGUGGCAUGGAGGCACGGACGAGAUGCUGCACUCUUCUGUAUUCGAGGAGGAAAAGGGCCCUGCUUCUAUUCAGGGAGGGGUUUCUUUAGUCUUGGACUUCACCACUGGGGAAGGUCAUUCUUGGUCUCCAACUAACUGGGCACUUCAGAAUAUUAGUGGGGAUUCUCAGCAGUCCAUUCAGGUAGAACUUAUCAGCAGUGAUUCAGGGGCCAUGGUUGAAGUAAAACACAUUGUGACUCUUAAAGAGGAUGAAUUAAGCUCAGAACUUGUGAUAUCAAACUCUAGCUCUGCCCCAGUUCAAUUGACUGGGUGUGUUCUGAGCCAUCUGAGGGUGAGCUCCCCUGAUGCAACUUAUGCAAUCGGAUUAGAAGGAUCGGAUUUCUUCUGCCGGCCUCCAUUUUCAUCAAACUUUGGAAUUAUUCCUCCUGACUUUGGCCAGAAAAUGGGAUUUGGUUUUGGCCAAAUGUUGAAUCAAAUUGCCUUCUGGCGUCCAAAUAAUAAUCAAAGUAAUGGUGAUCAAACAAAGAGCAACCAAGGUGAUUCUGAAGAAGAAUUGGAGGGUGAAGAAACUGACAAUUACAAACAUUUAAGAGAAGAGAUGAGUCAAAUCUACACUAGCGCUCCACGGAACAUGACAAUUAUCGAUCGGGUACUUAUUUAAAAUCUAAACUCCAUAUUCUCAUAUCAAGUUGAAUAUUCAAAUAUCAUGGUAGGUGCACGUAAAUAGCUUUGUUUGACAACUAUUCUGUUUUUGCUGCAUAUUGGUUGUUCAUUUUAAUUCUCAUUCCAAGUCAAUGGGGGCAUUUCAGUGUGACUGCUGAGCACCACUUUCCCCUCUAGAGUGGAGUUCAGUUUUGAUAUGGGUAGAAGAAAUUCAGUGAUAGUUGGAAGAAAAGGAUUUGAAGAACUGUACUUGUUAAGUCCCGGUUCAAGUCAUGAACUAUAUGCCAAGUACUCUUAUAUAUGUGUUGGCCAGUCAGCCAUGCUUAAGCCGAUAGUUGUGGAAGCUGAAAAAGUGUUAAGGCUUGGACAGGAUUUGUACAAUCCAAAUCUCUAAGUCAUGCCUCAAAGAUCAUUUUAACAUAUCA
Humulus lupulus (European hop) is the source of this 1468-nucleotide RNA transcript. It is a transcript of the gene named protein NDH-DEPENDENT CYCLIC ELECTRON FLOW 5, with no coding region annotated. The transcript is spliced from 3 exons. The record is from RefSeq and is a predicted model, not a curated record. NCBI's taxonomy places the organism in Eukaryota, Viridiplantae, Streptophyta, Magnoliopsida, Rosales, Cannabaceae.